RNAcentral lists this small nucleolar RNA (71 nucleotides) under Dasypus novemcinctus (nine-banded armadillo). Its description in RNAcentral is "Small nucleolar RNA SNORD59 (ENSDNOG00000030570.1)". It matches the Rfam family "Small nucleolar RNA SNORD59". Rfam says of the family: U59 belongs to the C/D class of snoRNA which contain the C (UGAUGA) and D (CUGA) box motifs. Most of the members of the box C/D family function in directing site-specific 2'-O-methylation of substrate RNAs. Lineage: Eukaryota; Metazoa; Chordata; Mammalia; Cingulata; Dasypodidae. The record is from RNAcentral.
ACUCGCUGAGGAGUAGCUUCUGGCUUUCAUUCUUCGGAGUCUGCUGAAGCCAGGAGGCAUUCCUGAGAAGG